GUUUCAGGCCCUCUUCAGCAGCAUGUAUGCAAACUGGAACAAAAUGAAGAUUAGAAUGGCCCCAAUGUAAGGAUAACAUGCAAAUUCACUAAUCAUUUCACAUUUAA
Molecule: small nuclear RNA, 107 nt
Filed under: Ochotona princeps (American pika)
Lineage: Eukaryota; Metazoa; Chordata; Mammalia; Lagomorpha; Ochotonidae
Source: RNAcentral